RNAcentral lists this ribosomal RNA (525 nucleotides) under Staphylococcus aureus. RNAcentral's name for it is "partial 23S ribosomal RNA". It matches the Rfam family "Bacterial large subunit ribosomal RNA", at positions 252 to 776 of the family's 2925-position model. Lineage: Bacteria; Bacillati; Bacillota; Bacilli; Caryophanales; Staphylococcaceae. The record is from RNAcentral.
AGCGAAACGGGAAGAGCCCAAACCAACAAGCUUGCUUGUUGGGGUUGUAGGACACUCUAUACGGAGUUACAAAGGACGACAUUAGACGAAUCAUCUGGAAAGAUGAAUCAAAGAAGGUAAUAAUCCUGUAGUCGAAAAUGUUGUCUCUCUUGAGUGGAUCCUGAGUACGACGGAGCACGUGAAAUUCCGUCGGAAUCUGGGAGGACCAUCUCCUAAGGCUAAAUACUCUCUAGUGACCGAUAGUGAACCAGUACCGUGAGGGAAAGGUGAAAAGCACCCCGGAAGGGGAGUGAAAUAGAACCUGAAACCGUGUGCUUACAAGUAGUCAGAGCCCGUUAAUGGGUGAUGGCGUGCCUUUUGUAGAAUGAACCGGCGAGUUACGAUUUGAUGCAAGGUUAAGCAGUAAAUGUGGAGCCGUAGCGAAAGCGAGUCUGAAUAGGGCGUUUAGUAUUUGGUCGUAGACCCGAAACCAGGUGAUCUACCCUUGGUCAGGUUGAAGUUCAGGUAACACUGAAUGGAGGACCG